This 864-nucleotide long non-coding RNA is filed under the name Olea europaea subsp. europaea. The record is from RNAcentral. Lineage: Eukaryota; Viridiplantae; Streptophyta; Magnoliopsida; Lamiales; Oleaceae.
AAAUUGGGUUUGAGGUUAUUCUUCAAUUAUAUCUACUUUUAGCUUUUCCUUAUUGAACACAACAGAUUAAAAAGGAAAAAAGAUGACGACUCAAAGAUGUUUUCUAAUUUUGGUGAAUAUGAAAAUCAGGUAUGCCACUUCUUUUGCACUUCGAUUUUUCGUGUUGUUCCCUUACAUUACAUACAUUACUCAUGCUAUUUUUCAAUUCAGAGUGUGAAAAGUAGAAAUAAUAAUCAAGGUUUAACCUUCUGCUUAAAUGGCUGUUGUAGAAAAUAUAUCUACAAUGUCAACCAGCCAAUGUUCCUCUCUUCAAGUUCGAGCCGAAAGAGGUUGCGCUACUCAUCCACGAAGCUUUGCGGAUAAAGGUAACUUUUCUUUCUCAUAUUUAAGUUCACUUGGUUAGUCCUUUGAACAAUAUUCAACUUUUUGUUGGCUAAUUUGUAGACAAACCGCACAAGGAUUAGUGAAACAAUGAAAUAAGGCAUGUUCAAUUUCGGUUGAUAUCUAGGGUGGUAAGCUCUUGAAAUGGUGAAUCAAGUAACAUUUUAGAAAUAAGGUAAAGAUUAAAUUUGAUGUUCCUAAUUUAAUGUUCAUCUUAGGAGAUGACAGAAAUUUUAUUUGAGUGAAAACCAAAAGAGUGAUAUAGUUCUUGUUAGAAUAUUUGUGCAAAAUGAGCAUAUCAAAUUAAAAGACUUUUCAAGGAAGUUAGGAUUGUUUGAAUUGCUCUUUUAGCUAUUCAUUAGUUCUUUUGGCCAACAAAUAGCUUCCUAAAGGAGAGCGCUUAGGGAGAAAAUUGAAAAUCUUGAUUCAUUUCUCAAAGUUCCCGUGAAGAAACUAUUGGUUUGAUGGAUCGACAAGGUCAAG